GUCUUUUUGAAAAUAAUUUAAAGUCUAAUCUGCCCACUGAAAAUUUUAAAGGGCCGCGGUAUUUUGACCGUGCAAAGGUAGCAUAAUAAUUAGUUUUUUAAUUGAGGACUAGAAUGAAUGAUUGAACGAGGUGUUGACUGUCUCAAUUUAAAUGUUAAUAGAAUUUAAUUUUUAAGUUAAAAAGCUUAAAUAAAAUUAAAGGACGAGAAGACCCUAUAGAGCUUUAUAUUUUUAUUAUAAUUUAUUUAUAGGAAAAAUUAAAUUUUAUAAAAAAAUAUAUUUUGUUGGGGUGACAGGAAGAUUUAUUAAACUCUUUUUAUUUUAAAACAAUAAUUUUUGAAAUAUUGAUCCAUUUUUAGUGAUUAUAAGACUAAGUUACCUUAGGGAUAACAGCGUAAUUUUUUUUGAGAGUUCAUAUCGACAAAAAGGAUUGCGACCUCGAUGUUGGAUUAAGGGUUAUUUUUGGGUGUAGAAGUUCAAAAUUUAGGUCUGUUCGACCUUUGAAUCCUUCAUGAUCUGAGUUCAAACC
Molecule: ribosomal RNA, 529 nt
Filed under: Panorpodes colei
Lineage: Eukaryota; Metazoa; Arthropoda; Insecta; Mecoptera; Panorpodidae
Description: partial 16S ribosomal RNA
Rfam family: Bacterial large subunit ribosomal RNA
Source: RNAcentral